RNAcentral lists this ribosomal RNA (301 nucleotides) under uncultured bacterium. RNAcentral's name for it is "partial 16S ribosomal RNA". It matches the Rfam family "Bacterial small subunit ribosomal RNA", at positions 509 to 807 of the family's 1533-position model. The record is from RNAcentral.
CAGCAGCCACGGGAAUACGAAGGGUGCAAGCGUUAAUCGGAAUUACUGGGCGUAAAGCGUGCGUAGGCGGUGAGUUAAGUCUGCUGUGAAAUCCCCGGGCUCAACCUGGGAAUGGCAGUGGAUACUGGCUCGCUAGAGUGUGUCAGAGGAUGGUGGAAUUCCCGGUGUAGCGGUGAAAUGCGUAGAGAUCUGGAGGAAUACCGAUGGCGAAGGCAGCCAUCUGGCCUAAUACUGACGCUGAGGUACGAAAGCGUGGGGAGCAAACAGGAUUAGAGACCCCUGUAGUCCCUGUCUCUUAUAC